RNAcentral lists this ribosomal RNA (497 nucleotides) under uncultured bacterium. RNAcentral's name for it is "partial 16S ribosomal RNA". It matches the Rfam family "Bacterial small subunit ribosomal RNA", at positions 28 to 507 of the family's 1533-position model. The record is from RNAcentral.
GAUGAACGCUGGCGGCGUGCCUAAUACAUGCAAGUCGAGCGAACAGACGAGGAGCUUGCUCCUCUGACGUUAGCGGCGGACGGGUGAGUAACACGUGGAUAACCUACCUAUAAGACUGGGAUAACUUCGGGAAACCGGAGCUAAUACCGGAUAAUAUAUUGAACCGCAUGGUUCAAUAGUGAAAGACGGUUUUGCUGUCACUUAUAGCUGGAUCCGCGCCGCAUUAGCUAGUUGGUAAGGUAACGGCUUACCAAGGCAACGAUGCGUAGCCGACCUGAGAGGGGGAUCGGCCACACUGGAGCUGAGACACGGUCCAGACUCCUACGGGAGGCAGCAGUAGGGAAUCUUCCGCAAUGGGCGAAAGCUUGACGGAGCAACGCCGCGUGAGUGAUGAAGGUCUUCGGAUCGUAAAACUCUGUUAUUAGGGAAGAACAAAUGUGUAAGGAACUAUGCACGUCUUGACGGUACCUAAUCAGAAAGCCACGGCUAACUACGUG